This 23-nucleotide ribosomal RNA is filed under the name uncultured Glomus. Its description in RNAcentral is "partial 28S ribosomal RNA". Lineage: Eukaryota; Fungi; Glomeromycota; Glomeromycetes; Glomerales; Glomeraceae. The record is from RNAcentral.
AUUGACCUCAAAUCAGGAGACAC